UUGAAAUUAUUGAGUACCUUGACAGCAACUAAAACAUCACUGGAAAGCCUGCCUUUGAAGACAGUUCCAUAGCCUCCUUGUCCCAGUUUGUCCUUGAAAUGAUUAGUUAUCCUUUUAAUAUCAGCAUAGGAGUAUCUUGAGGGUUUAAGCUCUUUAUAAUCUUCCAAAAACUUUUCAAUCUUGACUUGACUUUCUUUCUCCUUUUUGUCUAACCGAUAUCUCCACCCAACUGCAAUGGCAAUGGUUGCAGCAAUUGAAGAACCCAACACAAUACCUGCAAAUCAGCAUACAUCCCUGUGUUAUAUCCUGUCUAAAAUUAUUGAAGCUAAAAGGGAAAUUCCAUUUACCUGCAACCAUUAGCCUUUCUCCCAAACCUGCCAAACAUUUAAAAUUAUUCAGCUUUGAUACAUGGGAAAUCUAAGAAAAGGGCUCACUGUAAGUUUACAACAUUAAGCUUCACUUUGAUGCAGGCUAAUGAUUUUUUUUUAUAGUUAUAAUAGUUAAAACAUACCUAUAUGGUGUUUGGGGAUAUCAAAACACUCGGUUUGUUCCUUGGUGCUAUUAUUGUUGUUCAAUCUACAUCCCCUUCCUUGAGCUUCGCAAUCACCACAGUCUGGUUUAUACCAACGUAAUUGAAAACGGUUACCAUAAGGAGAAAUGGGCGUUGAGAAGUUGCGAAAGUAGCUGCAAUUCAACAGGUUCUCUGGAUAAAUAGGGUCAUAAGAAGCAAAAGCUAUAAUUUGGGAGCCAGGGGUGCUUAAGCAAUCGACUCUGUUUCCUUCAUACAAAGCCUUAUCUUGGCUUGAACAUUCAAACAAGGCAUAGUUGGAUUCAGUUGGCUGGGAUAUAUAAACUUUUAGGCGGCUGAAACCUUGUUGUUCCACCGCGAAUGGAAAGGCAGAAAAAUUGAGAUCUAAAAGCUGCCGCCAGAGGCAACCGCCGGGAAAGUCCAAGUUAAUCCGCUGAGCUUCAUAAUCUAUGUGCUUCACCAACAGCUCCAGCGAACGUGGUAUCUUCAGCAGGGUCUGUUUGUUUUCUGAGCAGGAAAGCUGAAACCCAGGAUGAGGAUAGCCGCAGUGGGGUGACUGCUGGCCUUCUAAACGGAAGGGGAAAUGGACAGGUGGAUCCUGGUGGUUGCACCGCCGCGCCUUGCAGUCGUCUUGGAUUGGCACUGCUUCUGCAACAUCCACAGCUAAGAUAAAGCAGAAUAACGAGUAAAUUAACAUUGUUCUUACUAACUUGUGAGCCCCUGAAGUGAAACGGGCUUUAAAUAAUUUCAUUGACAUAGGUGGUUCAGCCCUUGAGAGUUCCAAUUAUGCACGCAACGCAGCUGCUGCUUUACCAUAUAGCUUUGUCUCGUUUAACAGGGUCUUCAACUCUCCGUCCUCUCUUUGUUCUCUUUUCUGAGUAAAUGUUAGACAUGUUUGAUUGUUAGCAACCCUUUCUAACUUUGUUACUAAUUUUCUUUUAUUCCCGUUAGUUGUAGUAAAAUUUGAGGGAAAAACACUGAACAUGAGAAUGAAUACCGAUUUGCUGUUGUGAUCAUAGUGGGGUCAGCUUGACUGACUCUUGUUUUUCCACCUUCGUUGAAGUUUCCUCUUCCCUUUAUAGUUUUUACUACAUUUUGUUUGGUAUGACUAAGUAGUUGACUGACUUUUAUGGGUUCUUUUUAAUGUCUAUCGUUUUUUUUCUAAUGUAGGUGAUUUUUUUCUCACUUUUUUUUUCUAAUUUAUCUUUUAUUUUUGGAUUUUAAUUCGAAAUCGCAAAACUUGAACCAUCAUAUGUUUUUAAAUUUUAAAUCACUUAUUUUAGAUAGAACAAAUUUUUUAAAAGUGGAUACAAGACAAAAUGACAUAAUUUUUUUAAUAUGAGUAUGGAACAAUUAUAGUCAUUGCUUGUUCUACUCGUCCUAUCUCGAAAUAAUCUUUUACCUUUUUUGUAUAUAAUUAUUAAAAUGAUAAAAAUGUAAUAAUAUAUUAUAGGAAAAAAAUCAUAUGUUUUAUAUUUAUAUUUUUAAAAAAUUAUGUUUAAAUACUUACUCGUCCUAUCUCGAAAUUUCUUGUAGUUAUACUGUCUUUGAGAUGUUUUUAUUCGCGAUUUUGAACUAAUUUUCUAAAUACCUAGGGGAGAUGAACCUUAUGAUGAAUUUUGUCUUUUGAUUUCUGUUUUAUGCAAUGAAUAAUUGAAUCUUAUUCUCAAUUAUGUGUGCUUAAUCCUUGAUUUAAGAUUUUCGAAUUAUUAAUUCAUGUUUGAUGUGCUUAAUUAAGAGUAGAUCUAGCAUAAUUGAGUGGAGUUGCAUGUAAUCCUAGAAAUAGGACGACAUAAAUCUAACGAAUUAGGUAUUCAUAAACGAGAACUCAAUCAUAUCCAUCAGCACAAAACCCAACCAGGCGAGUCACAUUCACAUGGUGGAUUCUACCUAUCGAACCCACCUCAUUGAUGAACUCUUAAUAUUUAACUAAAGUUUGCUUUCUACUUUUUUUUUAUUUCCAUUUUUAAGAAAAUGUUAUUUUAUUAAUUCAAUUAUCUAAAUUAAUAUUAUUUUAUUUAAAUUAUAUUAAUCCUCAUUUAAUUAUUACAAGUAUAUUAUUUUAAAAUUAUAAAAAAUAUUAUUUAAUAAAUUAAACAAAUAAACAUUUAAAAUCACAUACAUUACAUUAAAAACUAAUAUAUCUAAAUAUAUAUUUUACCACUUAUUUUAAUCUUGUUAUUUUUAAUUUCAUCAAAAUUAUAUAUCACUCGAGCCACUGCGACUGCUGACUGGUGAUUAUUGAAAGGUUCUGAAUUAAUACAUCCAAGACUUUUAUGAGCAUCGCCAUUGACUGACCGACGACUUGAAUUAAAGAAUUUUCCACAUUAGCUUUGUUAGUGGACUGAUUUUUCAAAGAAGGACUUGCUCUCAAUUGCAGCCAUAAAAUAAAUGAAUGAUUGGCAUUUUACAUUAAAGAACAUCCCAUUGUUUAUUUCUUCAUCGGAGCUCCACCGGAACUUGAUGAUGUUAAGACCCAGACUUGUCUUGUUUAGCAUCUUUGCCCUUACUUUAUCCCCAGAUGUUUCCGAUGGUAGAGCAGGCAAAAGCAACCACUGCGGCCCAUCUUUGUGUGGACACGUUAAUAUCAGUCACCCUUUCCGACUAAAAGGUCAGCCUCGUCGAUGUGGUGACCGUAGGUUUGAAUUAGAGUGCAAGAGAAACCGCACCAGUUUUCCCAUGAAAUACGGAAACUUUUAUGUCCUAAACAUCUCUUAUGUUGACCGAACGCUUCGACUUGUGGAUGUGAGUCUGGUCGAUGAAAACUGCUCAAUUCCUCGCAGUUCCAUUGUCGAUUCUUCAGACAGCUAUCUAGAACACAUAAUAGCGAAUGGAGCAGACACCAUGUAUCUGGUAAAUUGCACGACAAGUAUGAAGUCUUCUUCAGUUUAUGUCGAUGCUUCUCGUUGCCCAACCAAUAGCUCUUCUUCUCCUUGGACCUACUUCUACUUUCCGGUCUCGUUUUCAAAUAUAUCCGAUUUCGAUCAUUCGUGCAGAUUUAUAGCCCAGUUUCCUGUCAUGCUUUCCAAUAUUAGUGGCUUAUCCCCUUCUUACAUUUACAAAAACCUGUUGGAAGGCGUCGAGGUGUCCUGGUAUCGUUUUUGGCCUUCAAACCCGAUUCUCAAAGUGUAAGAGACUUCGAUCUUUAGAUUCUUUCAAUCUAUAACUUUUCAAGGCCUUAUUUAUUGAUUGGUUGCUUUUUUUUUUCCUGGGGGGGGGGGUAUUCUAGCUUGCUACAGUUGCUACUUCCAAUUGCAGCAUACAUAGUAACCAUUGCGAACUUUCUUCAGCAGGGAAGCAUCAACUAUUAUACUCCUUAUCAUAAAGGUUAAUGUUUCAGAUUUCAUAAGUAUCUGUAUUUAUUGGAUUUGCCCUUGAAUUGCAUUCAAGUUAGUAAUACUAUUGUUGAAUUGGUGUUUUAAACAGCAUCCUUCUUAGUUUGUCUUGCAGUAUCAGGUAAAUCUCUUUCCCCGCCCCACUUUUUUAUGUUAUCUUUAUAAAAUAAUCAUGAAUGCUGAUUUAUCCUUGUGUAUGCCCCUUGAUGGGCAAGCAGCUGGCAUAUUGUUAGCGAGAACUUUGUUGGGGAUAUUCUGCCUCAUUACACUUGUUAUACACAAACUAAGGAGGAGGCAUUUAUCGAUGGAUGAUAAUAUUGAGAACUUUCUUAAAAGUCAAAAUAAUUUAAUACCAAUUCGAUAUUCGUAUUCUGAAAUAAAAAGAAUUACGGAAGGUUUUAAAGUUAAAUUAGGUCAAGGAGGUUAUGGUUCUGUGUUUAAAGGAAAGCUUCGCAGUGGUCGGCUAGUGGCAAUAAAAAUGUUGGAUAAAUUCAAAGCAAAUGGAGAAGAUUUCAUCAAUGAAGUUGCUACUAUUGGAAGGAUUCAUCAUAUUAAUGUAGUGCAACUUAUUGGAUUUUGUGUAGAGAGAUCAAAACAAGCUCUUGUAUAUGAUUUUAUGGUGAAUGGGUCUUUGGAUAAAAUUAUAUUUUCAAAGGAGAAUUGCACUUUAAGUUGGCAAAAAUUAUUUGAGGUUGCACUAGGUGUGGCUCGAGGGAUUGAAUACUUGCACAGGGGUUGUCAAAUGCAAAUUUUGCAUUUUGAUAUCAAGCCGCACAACAUUCUUUUGGACGAAAACUUUAUCCCUAAAGUUUCUGAUUUUGGUCUUGCAAAAUUAUAUUCAGUGGAUGAUAGUAUUAUUUCUCUCACAGCGGCUCGUGGUACAUUAGGAUACAUUGCUCCUGAAUUAUUUUACAGAAAUAUUGGAGGCAUCUCAUAUAAAGCCGAUAUUUAUAGUUUUGGAAUGUUAUUAAUGGAAAUGGUGGGAAGAAGAAAGAAUUUGAAUGCAUUUGAUGAUCAUUCUAGUCAAAUUUAUUUUCCGUCAUGGAUUUAUGAUCGAUUUGAACAAAGAGAGAACAUAGAAUUAGGGGAUGAAACAGAAGUUGAUGACAAAAUAGCAAGGAAGAUGAUAAUGGUUGCAUUUUGGUGCAUACAAAUGAAUCCCACUAAUCGUCCUUCAAUGAGCAAAGUUUUGGAAAUGCUCGAAAAUGAACUUGAUCACCUUGAAUUACCGUCCAGACCUUCACUAUUUUCUCUCGAAAAGUCAAUUGAAGAUCAUGUUAGUAAGAAUGUAUCGGAGGAACCAUCAACGUCAAAAAGUUGUGUGGACCUCUAAGUAUAAUGUUUGAUUUUAUUCGGGCCUUUUAUACAUAUAGUUCUGCAACUGUAAGCUUUUAAUUUGUAGCAUUUCAUGUUCAGUUGUAUAAUAUCCAGCAUCAUGUAAUACAACUAUUAAUGGAUGUGUGUUUUAGACUUUAGCUCCUUAGCUUCAUGUUUCAAUUAUUAAAAAUGUCUCCCAGUCACCAUAUAAUGAGUUAAUAUCAAAUUCGUUUACAAUUAUUUAGUAUAUAAGUGACUCUUAACAUUGGGUGAUCUCAUGAGAAAGUUUUUACUGAUCUCUUAUUGUAAUAUGUAAUCAUGAUAAUUAUGAGUGUGGUGUGGCGGUUGCUCACUUCAUUUUUAAAUCAUUUAGUCAAGAAUUUGAGUUCCGCUCAAAGAAAUGGAACACUUACCAACUAUGAAUACCUUAAUUUUGACAAUUAAACAACAUUUAAGAUAGAAUCUUAUCAUUUAUUAGUAGAAUUUAUAUACCAACAGCCAUGCAGCAUUUCAUUUAUGAGUUCAUAUAAAAUCUUAGCAUUGGUGUAAUAUGAGUGUGCUAAUAGACGAUUUCAAGUUUCAACUGAUUCUAGUACUACUAAUAAUGAGGCUCGAGCUUGUUCUUAUUCCAUUUCUGAAAUAGUGGCUAGAUCUCUGUUAACCGGCUUCCUAGGUAUGGUGGCACCCAUCGUCUUCGUUGGAUCCGUCGACGCAAAAGGAUUUGGUGGCAUUGUAAGAACGUCAAGCUCUCCCUCUAACAUCUGAACCACCACUUUCAUCGAAGGACGAUCAACGGGAUACCACUGAAUGCACCAAAGUCCAACAAUCAUGAGUUUCUUUGCUAUCCCUGUUUGUGCAUCAUCUUCAAUUCGAAUCCCGAACUCCCCUCCUUUAUCCAAACGAUCAUAUGCCCAUUCUGGGAAAUACACUUGGCUUGUGUUCUCGACCGUAACAUCUAUGUUCUUUCUCCCCCCAACCAUUUCAAGCAACAGCAUUCCAAAACUAUAAACAUCAGAUUUAUAUGACACAUUUCCAAAGUUGCGAGACAGUACCUCUGGUGCAAUAUAGCCCAUGGUACCUCUAGCUGUUGUCAUUGAAAUAGCACUUUGUUCCUUGGAACACAAUUUAGCAAGGCCGAAAUCAGAGAUCUUAGGAUUGAAGUUGUGAUCAAGCAAAAUAUUGUGAGGUUUGAUGUCAAAAUGGAGGAUACGUUGCUCGCAACCUUGAUGCAGGUACUCAAUGCCUUUGGCUACACCGACAGCAAUAUCCUGAAGUUUUUCCCAACUCAGGGAUCGAUCCUUGCCCUUGGCUGAAAAUAUGAACUUCUCUAAUGACUCGUUUGGUAGGUAUUCAUAAACGAGAGCUCUGUCAUAUCCAUCGGCACAAAACCCAACCAGGCGAGUCACAUUCACAUGGUGGAUUCUGCCCAUCGAACCCACCUCGUUGAUGAACUCUUCACCAUUUCCCUUGAAAUUAUUGAGCACCUUGACAGCAACUAAAACAUCACUGGAAAGUCUGCCUUUGAAGACAGUUCCAUAGCCUCCUUGUCCCAGUUUGUCCUUGAAAUGAUUAGUUAUCCUUUUAAUAUCAGCAUAGGAGUAUCUUGAGGGUUUAAGCUCUUUAUAAUCUUCCAAAAACUUUUCAAUCUUGACUUGGCUUUCUUUCUCCUUUUUGUCUAACCGAUAUCUCCACCCAACUGCAAUGGCA
RNAcentral lists this long non-coding RNA (6888 nucleotides) under Gossypium barbadense (sea-island cotton). Its description in RNAcentral is "long non-coding RNA (GBAR_LNC015219)". The record is from RNAcentral. Lineage: Eukaryota; Viridiplantae; Streptophyta; Magnoliopsida; Malvales; Malvaceae.